This 540-nucleotide ribosomal RNA is filed under the name uncultured bacterium. RNAcentral's name for it is "bacterial SSU rRNA". It matches the Rfam family "Bacterial small subunit ribosomal RNA", at positions 67 to 595 of the family's 1533-position model. The record is from RNAcentral.
CGGCAGCAUGAUCUAGCUUGCUAGAUUGAUGGCGAGUGGCGAACGGGUGAGUAAUACAUCGGAACGUGCCCUGUAGUGGGGGAUAACUAGUCGAAAGAUUAGCUAAUACCGCAUACGACCUGAGGGUGAAAGUGGGGGACCGCAAGGCCUCAUGCUAUAGGAGCGGCCGAUGUCUGAUUAGCUAGUUGGUGGGGUAAAGGCCCACCAAGGCGACGAUCAGUAGCUGGUCUGAGAGGACGAUCAGCCACACUGGGACUGAGACACGGCCCAGACUCCUACGGGAGGCAGCAGUGGGGAAUUUUGGACAAUGGGCGAAAGCCUGAUCCAGCAAUGCCCGCGUGUGUGAAGAAGGCCUUCGGGUUGUAAAGCACUUUUGUCCGGAAAGAAAUGGCUCUGGUUAAUACCUGGGGUCGAUGACGGUACCGGAAGAAUAAGGACCGGCUAACUACGUGCCAGCAGCCGCGGUAAUACGUAGGGUCCAAGCGUUAAUCGGAAUUACUGGGCGUAAAGCGUGCGCAGGCGGUUGUGCAAGACCGAUGU